GAGACAGCAGUAGCCACGGUAAUACAGAGGGUGCGAGCGUUAAUCGGAUUUACUGGGCGUAAAGCGUGCGUAGGCGGCUUUUUAAGUCGGAUGUGAAAUCCCUGAGCUUAACUUAGGAAUUGCAUUCGAUACUGGGAAGCUAGAGUAUGGGAGAGGAUGGUAGAAUUCCAGGUGUAGCGGUGAAAUGCGUAGAGAUCUGGAGGAAUACCGAUGGCGAAGGCAGCCAUCUGGCCUAAUACUGACGCUGAGGUACGAAAGCAUGGGGAGCAAACAGGAUUAGAUACCCCGGUAGUCCCUGUCUCUUAUAC
RNAcentral lists this ribosomal RNA (308 nucleotides) under uncultured bacterium. Its description in RNAcentral is "partial 16S ribosomal RNA". It matches the Rfam family "Bacterial small subunit ribosomal RNA", at positions 505 to 807 of the family's 1533-position model. The record is from RNAcentral.